RNAcentral lists this ribosomal RNA (492 nucleotides) under uncultured bacterium. RNAcentral's name for it is "partial 16S ribosomal RNA". It matches the Rfam family "Bacterial small subunit ribosomal RNA", at positions 29 to 507 of the family's 1533-position model. The record is from RNAcentral.
AGUGAACGCUGGCGGUAGGCCUAACACAUGCAAGUCGAACGGCAGCACAGUAAGAGCUUGCUCUUACGGGUGGCGAGUGGCGGACGGGUGAGGAAUACAUCGGAAUCUACUUUUUCGUGGGGGAUAAUGUAGGGAAACUUACGCUAAUACCGCAUACGACCUACGGGUGAAAGCAGGGGAUCUUCGGACCUUGCGCGAUUGAAUGAGCCGAUGUCGGACUAGCUAGUUGGCGGGGUAAAGGCCCACCAAGGCGACGAUCCGUAGCUGGUCUGAGAGGAUGAUCAGCCACACUGGAACUGAGACACGGUCCAGACUCCUACGGGAGGCAGCAGUGGGGAAUAUUGGACAAUGGGCGCAAGCCUGAUCCAGCCAUACCGCGUGGGUGAAGAAGGCCUUCGGGUUGUAAAGCCCUUUUGUUGGGAAAGAAAAGCAGCAGGUUAAUACCCCGCUGUUCUGACGGUACCCAAAGAAUAAGCACCGGCUAACUUCGUG